GUCUGGGCAGCAGAGGCCGUGGGUCGUGCCCUGGCCUUGCAGAAACGUUCCCAGGCCUGGGACUUCGGGAUCCUCAGUUCCCUGGCUCUCCGCCAGGGGCGCUUUGCUCGUUCCCGUUUCCGCGCUGGUGAGCUCAGGGGGCCGGACCUCUGUCCCGGCAGCCCAGGGUCCCCGCCGCCACCGCUGUCUCCGCGGCUGAUGCCUCCAGAGAGAGCAAGUUCUGCUGUUUCCAGACCCGCGCGCAUCCCGGCCUCUCCAGCGGCUGUCCGUCCAGCGUGGCUCCUCCGUCCUCUGCGGUCGGUUCCAUCCCCCUGCAGGCCCCCCAGACUUUCAAAUCCGAAGGUCCCCAGAAAUAAAGGCGAAGACCCUGGCUGGCUUAGCCCACACCAAUCCACAAAACAGUUCGUCCCUAUGAAGAAACCAAGGCAGUCAGAAGUUGAAGAAUUUGUUCAAGUACCUGUGACUUAUAAACACUAGGCCCAGGCAGUCUCCGUUAAGAGCUCCCACUUUUAUCAGUUACAUACAGGGAAGGGGCUUGUCUCAGGGAUCACUCUGCAGUCCCCCCUCCCCACUAAAAGACAGCUUAGCCAGCGCACAUCUGUAAUCUCAGCACUUUGGGGGGGCUGAGGCAGGAGGAUCACCAGGAGUUCAAGGCCAGCCCGAACCACACAGCGAGAUCUGGUCUCAAAAGAACAAAAAGGAAGCAAACAACAAUCCGACAGUUCAUUCUCUUCAUGGGAAAAAAGCAUACCAAAAAACACCUUUUUUUUCUAAUCAAUUGGGAAGGUCUUCUCUCCCUUAUG
Long non-coding RNA from Fukomys damarensis (Damara mole-rat), 803 nucleotides. RefSeq lists it as uncharacterized. The transcript has 3 exons. The record is from RefSeq and is a predicted model, not a curated record. NCBI's taxonomy places the organism in Eukaryota, Metazoa, Chordata, Mammalia, Rodentia, Bathyergidae.